GCCGGGCAUGGUGGCGCGUGCCUGUAAUCCCAGCUACUUGGGAGGCUGAGACAGGAGAAUCGUUUGAACCCAGGAGGUGGGGGUUGCAGUGAGCUGAGAAUGCGCCACUGCACUCUAGCCUGGGUAACAAGGGCGAAACUCCGUCUCAA
This is an unclassified non-coding RNA of Callithrix jacchus (white-tufted-ear marmoset), 149 nucleotides long. It matches the Rfam family "Metazoan signal recognition particle RNA". Rfam says of the family: The signal recognition particle (SRP) is a universally conserved ribonucleoprotein. The record is from Ensembl. NCBI's taxonomy places the organism in Eukaryota, Metazoa, Chordata, Mammalia, Primates, Cebidae.